GACGAACGCUGGCGGCGUGCUUAACACAUGCAAGUCGAACGGAAAGGCCCUGCUUUUGUGGGGUGCUCGAGUGGCGAACGGGUGAGUAACACGUGAGUAACCUGCCCUUGACUUUGGGAUAACUUCAGGAAACUGGGGCUAAUACCGGAUAGGAGCUCCUGCUGCAUGUUGGUGGUUGGAAAGUUUCGGCGGUUGGGGAUGGACUCGCGGCUUAUCAGCUUGUUGGUGGGGUAGUGGCUUACCAAGGCUUUGACGGGUAGCCGGCCUGAGAGGGUGACCGGCCACAUUGGGACUGAGAUACGGCCCAGACUCCUACGGGAGGCAGCAGUCGGGAAUAUUGCACAAUGGGCGGAAGCCUGAUGCAGCAACGCCGCGUGCGGGAUGACGGCCUUCGGGUUGUAAACCGCUUUCGCCUGUGACGAAGAGUGAGUGACGGUAAUGGGUAAAGAAGCACCGGCUAACUACGUG
RNAcentral lists this ribosomal RNA (468 nucleotides) under uncultured bacterium. RNAcentral describes it as "partial 16S ribosomal RNA". It matches the Rfam family "Bacterial small subunit ribosomal RNA", at positions 28 to 507 of the family's 1533-position model. The record is from RNAcentral.